GCAAGUCGAGCGAACAGAUGAGAAGCUUGCUUCUCUGAUGUUAGCGGCGGACGGGUGAGUAACACGUGGGUAACCUACCUAUAAGACUGGGAUAACUCCGGGAAACCGGGGCUAAUACCGGAUAAUAUAUUGAACCGCAUGGUUCAAUGUUGAAAGACGGUUUCGGCUGUCACUUAUAGAUGGACCCGCGCCGUAUUAGCUAGUUGGUAAGGUAACGGCUUACCAAGGCAACGAUACGUAGCCGACCUGAGAGGGUGAUCGGCCACACUGGAACUGAGACACGGUCCAGACUCCUACGGGAGGCAGCAGUAGGGAAUCUUCCGCAAUGGGCGAAAGCCUGACGGAGCAACGCCGCGUGAGUGAUGAAGGUCUUAGGAUCGUAAAACUCUGUUGUUAGGGAAGAACAAAUUUGUUAGUAACUGAACAAGUCUUGACGGUACCUAACCAGAAAGCCACGGCUAACUACGUGCCAGCAGCCGCGGUAAUACGUAGGUGGCAAGCGUUAUCCGGAAUUAUUGGGCGUAAAGCGCGCGUAGGCGGUUUCUUAAGUCUGAUGUGAAAGCCCACGGCUCAACCGUGGAGGGUCAUUGGAAACUGGGGAACUUGAGUGCAGAAGAGGAGAGUGGAAUUCCAUGUGUAGCGGUGAAAUGCGCAGAGAUAUGGAGGAACACCAGUGGCGAAGGCGGCUCUCUGGUCUGUAACUGACGCUGAUGUGCGAAAGCGUGGGGAUCAAACAGGAUUAGAUACCCUGGUAGUCCACGCCGUCACGAUGAGUGCUAAGUGUUAGGGGGUUUCCGCCCCUUAGUGCUGCAGCUAACGCAUUAAGCACUCCGCCUGGGGAGUACGACCGCAAGGUUGAAACUCAAAGGAUUUGACGGGACCCGCACAAGCGGUGGAAGCAUGUG
Molecule: ribosomal RNA, 905 nt
Filed under: Staphylococcus sp. A75
Lineage: Bacteria; Bacillati; Bacillota; Bacilli; Caryophanales; Staphylococcaceae
Description: bacterial SSU rRNA
Rfam family: Bacterial small subunit ribosomal RNA
Source: RNAcentral